This 253-nucleotide ribosomal RNA is filed under the name uncultured bacterium. Its description in RNAcentral is "partial 16S ribosomal RNA". It matches the Rfam family "Bacterial small subunit ribosomal RNA", at positions 524 to 776 of the family's 1533-position model. The record is from RNAcentral.
GACGAACCGUGCGAACGUUGUUCGGAAUCACUGGGCUUAAAGGGCGCGUAGGCGGCAACUCAAGGCCGGGGUGAAAGCCCCCGGCUCAACCGGGGAAGUGCCUUGGAGACUGGGUUGCUCGAGGGAGGUAGGGGUCGAGGGAACUUCUGGUGGAGCGGUGAAAUGCGUUGAUAUCAGAAGGAACGCCGGUGGCGACAGCGCUCGACUGGACCUUUUCUGACGCUCAGGCGCGACAGCGUGGGGAUCAAACAGG